Molecule: small nucleolar RNA, 106 nt
Organism: Ziziphus jujuba (common jujube)
Lineage: Eukaryota; Viridiplantae; Streptophyta; Magnoliopsida; Rosales; Rhamnaceae
Source: RefSeq, a predicted model, not a curated record
AAUUCAUGAUGUGGGCAUCUUUUUAAUAGCUCCUUGAAACGCUCCCAGGCAUCAUACAAAGUCUCUUGUUCCCAUUGACCAAAAUUAUAUAUAUCACUUUGCAAUU